Long non-coding RNA from Herpailurus yagouaroundi (jaguarundi), 232 nucleotides. RefSeq lists it as uncharacterized. Lineage: Eukaryota; Metazoa; Chordata; Mammalia; Carnivora; Felidae. The transcript has 3 exons. The record is from RefSeq and is a predicted model, not a curated record.
UGCCGAGGCCAAGGGAACAGCGCCCAGGGGGAGAGACUGUACAACCAGGAUGGUGUCGGCUACUGGAGGAUCUGGAGUGAUGAAAGGUAGCCGGCGGGGCGGUGAGGGUCGUUUCCUUUAAAAUUAAGUGUAAGCGCGGCCAUAUGUUCUGAUUACUUCACUUUCCAAGUUAAAACAUUUUUUUAAUGGGGCGCCUGGGUGGCGCAGUCGGUUAAGCGUCCGACUUCAGCCA